UGGUGGAGUGAUUUGUCUGGUUAAUUCCGUUAACGAACGAGACCCCUGCCUGCUAAAUAGUCUGGUGAGUGUCUUACACUGACUUUGACUUCUUUAGAGGGACGGUGCAUUCGACUAGUUGCAGGAAGAUAGGGGCGAAUAACA
This 144-nucleotide ribosomal RNA is filed under the name uncultured eukaryote. Its description in RNAcentral is "partial 18S ribosomal RNA". It matches the Rfam family "Eukaryotic small subunit ribosomal RNA", at positions 1299 to 1453 of the family's 1831-position model. The record is from RNAcentral.